UACGUAGGGUGCAAGCGUUAAUCGGAAUUACUGGGCGUAAAGCGUGCGCAGGCGGUUGUGCAAGACAGAUGUGAAACUCCCCGGGCUUAACCUGGGAACUGCAUUUGUGACUGCACAGCUGGAGUGCGGCAGAGGGGGAUGGAAUUCCGCGUGUAGCAGUGAAAUGCGUAGAUAUGCGGAGGAACACCGAUGGCGAAGGCAAUCCCCUGGGCCUGCACUGACGCUCAUGCACGAAAGCGUGGGGAGCAAACAGG
Molecule: ribosomal RNA, 254 nt
Filed under: uncultured bacterium
Lineage: Bacteria
Description: partial 16S ribosomal RNA
Rfam family: Bacterial small subunit ribosomal RNA
Source: RNAcentral